UACGGGGGGGGCAAGCGUUGUUCGGAAUUACUGGGCGUAAAGCGCACGUAGGCGGCGAUUUAAGUCAGAGGUGAAAGCCCGGGGCUCAACCCCGGAACUGCCUUUGAGACUGGAUUGCUUGAAUCCUGGAGAGGUGAGUGGAAUUCCGAGUGUAGAGGUGAAAUUCGUAGAUAUUCGGAAGAACACCAGUGGCGAAGGCGGCUCACUGGACAGGUAUUGACGCUGAGGUGCGAAAGCGUGGGGAGCAAACAGG
This 253-nucleotide ribosomal RNA is filed under the name uncultured bacterium. Its description in RNAcentral is "partial 16S ribosomal RNA". It matches the Rfam family "Bacterial small subunit ribosomal RNA", at positions 524 to 776 of the family's 1533-position model. The record is from RNAcentral.